CAGUCGCCACGGGAACACGUAUGUCGCAAGCGUUAUCCGGAAUUAUUGGGCAUAAAGGGCAUCUAGGCGGCCAGGCAAGUCUGGGGUGAAAACCUGCGGCUCAACCGCAGGCCUGCCCUGGAAACUGCGUGGCUGGAGUGCUGGAGAGGUGGACGGAACUGCACGAGUAGAGGUGAAAUUCGUAGAUAUGUGCAGGAAUGCCGAUGAUGAAGAUAGUUCACUGGACGGCAACUGACGCUGAAGUGCGAAAGCCGGGGGAGCGAACAGGAUUAGAUACCCCCGUAGUCCCUGUCUCUUAUAC
RNAcentral lists this ribosomal RNA (301 nucleotides) under uncultured bacterium. Its description in RNAcentral is "partial 16S ribosomal RNA". It matches the Rfam family "Bacterial small subunit ribosomal RNA", at positions 509 to 807 of the family's 1533-position model. The record is from RNAcentral.